AUUUUUGUAGUUGAUUAACAACAGUGGUUUUUCGGGCCGCCGGUCUCUGAUAGAGCAAAAAUU
Molecule: transfer RNA, 63 nt
Filed under: Sibon nebulatus (cloudy snail-eating snake)
Lineage: Eukaryota; Metazoa; Chordata; Lepidosauria; Squamata; Dipsadidae
Description: tRNA-Glu
Source: RNAcentral